UCCUCCCUCUGUCGGCGUGCUUAACACAUGCAAGUCGAACGAAGAGCGAUGGAAGCUUGCUUCUAUCAAUCUUAGUGGCGAACGGGUGAGUAACGCGUAAUCAACCUGCCCUUCAGAGGGGGACAACAGUUGGAAACGACUGCUAAUACCGCAUACGAUCUAAUCUCGGCAUCGAGGAUAGAUGAAAGGUGGCCUCUACAUGUAAGCUAUCACUGAAGGAGGGGAUUGCGUCUGAUUAGCUAGUUGGAGGGGUAACGGCCCACCAAGGCGAUGAUCAGUAGCCGGUCUGAGAGGAUGAACGGCCACAUUGGGACUGAGACACGGCCCAGACUCCUACGGGAGGCAGCAGUGGGGAAUCUUCCGCAAUGGACGAAAGUCUGACGGAGCAACGCCGCGUGAGUGAUGACGGCCUUCGGGUUGUAAAGCUCUGUUAAUCGGGACGAAAGGCCUUCUUGCGAAUAGUGAGAAGGAUUGACGGUACCGGAAUAGAAAGCCACGGCUAACUACGUG
RNAcentral lists this ribosomal RNA (510 nucleotides) under uncultured bacterium. Its description in RNAcentral is "partial 16S ribosomal RNA". It matches the Rfam family "Bacterial small subunit ribosomal RNA", at positions 36 to 507 of the family's 1533-position model. The record is from RNAcentral.